UGGCCAAGAAGCUGGAGAAGCUGGAGAAGCGGACCCAGAGAGCCAUCGCAGAGCUGAUCCGUGAACGGCUGAAAGGCCAGGACGACAGCCUGGCCUCUGCAGUGGAUGCCACCAUUAGACAAGAGGCUUGUGACUCUGACUGAGAUGUUUUCCGUGUCCUCUCUGUUCAGCACACACAUCCUGUGGGAAGAUAGUCUCAGACAGGGAUGGGGUUAGGCUGGCCAGCACUUCUGGGUCUUGAGAACUGAGCCAGCCCACUGAGUCUCAGCUUCUGUUGGUUGUUACCAGUUCACCUCCCAAGGGUGUCCACCACCCCGAGUGGGUCAAAGCUGAGGUCUGUACAUAUGUAUGGGAAUGGAGCUUUGUAACUUCUGGAAAUAAACCUCCAUUUAGUCGAG
This is a long non-coding RNA of Grammomys surdaster, 398 nucleotides long. RefSeq lists it as uncharacterized. The record is from RefSeq and is a predicted model, not a curated record. NCBI's taxonomy places the organism in Eukaryota, Metazoa, Chordata, Mammalia, Rodentia, Muridae. The transcript is spliced from 2 exons.